UACGGGGGGGGCAAGCGUUGUUCGGAAUUACUGGGCGUAAAGGGCUCGUAGGUGGCCAACUAAGUCAGACGUGAAAUCCCCAGGCUCAACUUGGGAACUGCGUCUGAUACUGGAUGGCUAGAGUUCGGCAGAGGGAAGCGGAAUUUCUGGUGUAGCGGUGAAAUGCGUAGAUAUCAGAAGGAACAUCAGUGGCGAAAGCGGCUUCCUGGACCAGAACUGACGAUCAGGCACGAAAGCGUGGGGAGCAAACAGG
RNAcentral lists this ribosomal RNA (253 nucleotides) under uncultured bacterium. RNAcentral's name for it is "partial 16S ribosomal RNA". It matches the Rfam family "Bacterial small subunit ribosomal RNA", at positions 524 to 776 of the family's 1533-position model. The record is from RNAcentral.